This 577-nucleotide ribosomal RNA is filed under the name Lecidea andersonii. Its description in RNAcentral is "SSU rRNA". It matches the Rfam family "Bacterial small subunit ribosomal RNA", at positions 358 to 988 of the family's 1533-position model. Lineage: Eukaryota; Fungi; Ascomycota; Lecanoromycetes; Lecideales; Lecideaceae. The record is from RNAcentral.
GGAAUGAACGGCAAUAGCUGGUUGCACUAACAAUAACUUAGUGCAAAAUCGACUCUGUCGAAUAAAAUUCUAGAUAGAAUUAUGAUAAUGACAUUAUCUAUCUAUGUGUCUUGACCAAAUUACGUGCCAGCAGUCGCGGUAAUACGUAAAAGACUAGUGUUAUUCAUCUUUAAUAGGUUUAAAGGGUACUUAGACGGUAAAUCAAGCCCUAAUAGGGAACUAAUAUACUAGAGUUUGAUGUAAGGAAGCAUGAAAGUACUGUUGGUGUAGAGAUAAAAUUCUAUUAUACCAAAUAUGGCACAGGUUUAGGCGAAAGCAUCCUCUUAUGUAAUAACUGACGUUGAAGGACGAAGGCUUUGUGUCUCGAACAGGAUUAGAUACCCCAGUAGUCUAAGCAGACAAUGAUGAAUGUCAUAGAUUAGAUUUAAUUUAUUCUAUAAAUGAAAGUGUAAGCAUUCCACCUCAAGAGUAAUUUGGCAACAUUGGAACUGAAAUCAUUAGACCGUUUCUGAAACCAGUAGUGAAGUAUGUUGUUUAAUUAGAUGGUACGCAAAAAACCUUACCACAAUUUGAAUUA